GUGAGGAAUUUUCCGCAAUGGGCGAAAGCCUGACGGAGCAAUGCCGCGUGAAGGAUGAAGGCCUAUGGGUUGUAAACUUCUUUUCUCAGAAAAGAAUUAUGACGGUAUCUGAGGAAUAAGCAUCGGCUAACUCUGUGCCAGCAGCUGCGGUAAGACAGAGGAUGCAAGCGUUAUCUGGAAUGAUUGGGCGUAAAGCGUCUGUAGGUUGUUUAAAAAGUAUUCUGUCAAAGAUUAGGGCUUAACCCUAGAUAGGCAGAAUAAACUUUUAAGCUAGAGUUUGGUAGAGGCAGAGGGAAUUCCCGGUGGAGCGGUGAAAUGCGUAGAUAUCGGGAGGAACACCAAAGGCGAAGGCACUCUGCUGGGCCAAUACUAACACUGAGAGACGAAAGCGAGGGGAGCAAAUGGGAUUAGAAACCCCAGUAGUCC
RNAcentral lists this ribosomal RNA (426 nucleotides) under uncultured bacterium. Its description in RNAcentral is "partial 16S ribosomal RNA". It matches the Rfam family "Bacterial small subunit ribosomal RNA", at positions 354 to 796 of the family's 1533-position model. The record is from RNAcentral.